RNAcentral lists this ribosomal RNA (896 nucleotides) under Epipolaeum longisetosum. RNAcentral's name for it is "LSU rRNA". It matches the Rfam family "Eukaryotic large subunit ribosomal RNA", at positions 38 to 965 of the family's 3401-position model. The record is from RNAcentral. Lineage: Eukaryota; Fungi; Ascomycota; Dothideomycetes; Pseudoperisporiaceae.
GCAUAUCAAUAAGCGGAGGAAAAGAAACCAACAGGGAUUGCCCUUAGUAACGGCGAAGUGAAGCGGCAACAGCUCAAAUUUGAAAUCUGGCUUCGGCCCGAGUUGUAAUUUGUAGAGGAUGCUUUUGGUGAGGUGCCUUCUGAGUUCCCUGGAACGGGACGCCAGAGAGGGUGAGAGCCCCGUAUAGUCGGCCACCGAUCCUCUGUAAAGCUCCUUCGACGAGUCGAGUAGUUUGGGAAUGCUGCUCAAAAUGGGAGGUAUAUCUCUUCUAAAGCUAAAUAUUGGCCAGAGACCGAUAGCGCACAAGUAGAGUGAUCGAAAGAUGAAAAGCACUUUGAAAAGAGGGUUAAAUAGCACGUGAAAUUGUUGAAAGGGAAGCGCUUGUGACCAGACUUGUGCCGGGCUGAUCAUCCAGUGUUCUCACUGGUGCACUCGACCCGGCUCAGGCCAGCGUCGGUUCUCGUAGGGGGAUAAAAGCUUCGGGAACGUGGCACCUUCGGGUGUGUUAUAGCCCGUUGCUUAAUACCCUUGUGGGGACCGAGGUUCGCGCUCUGCAAGGACGCUGGCAUAAUGGUCAUCAGCGACCCGUCUUGAAACACGGACCAAGGAGUCGAGGUUUUGCGCGAGUGUUUGGGUGUAAAACCCGCACGCGUAAUGAAAGUGAACGUAGGUGAGAGCUUCGGCGCAUCAUCGACCGAUCCUGAUGUAUUCGGAUGGAUUUGAGUAAGAGCGUAUAGCCUCGGACCCGAAAGAUGGUGAACUAUGCCUGAAUAGGGUGAAGCCAGAGGAAGCUCUGGUGGAGGCUCGCAGCGGUUCUGACGUGCAAAUCGAUCGUCAAAUUUGGGCAUGGGGGGCGAAAGACUAAUCGAACCAUCUAGUAGCUGGUUACCGCCGAA